This is a long non-coding RNA of Oncorhynchus tshawytscha (Chinook salmon), 781 nucleotides long. Lineage: Eukaryota; Metazoa; Chordata; Actinopteri; Salmoniformes; Salmonidae. The record is from Ensembl.
ACAGUAGGAUAUAGGACAGAUGCUGGCUGAACAGUAGGAUAUAGGACAGAUAUAGCCUCUGAACAGUAGGAUAUAGGACAGAUAUAGCCUCUGAACAGUAGGAUAUAGGACAGAUGCUGGCUGAACAGUAGAAUAUAGGACAGAUAUAGCCUCUGAACAGUAGGAUAUAGGACAGAUAUAGGCUCUGAACAGUAGGAUAUAGGACAGAUAUAGCCUCUGAACAGUGUAUGUUCCAUACUGCAUGUAUUAUAGUGGAUUUGUUUGCUGACUUCACAAAAUAAAUGUCCAUGUAAAUGGGCUAGGUCUAAAUGUCAAUGUAAAUGGGCUAGGUCUAAAUGGGCUAGGUCUAAAUGGGCUAGGUCUAAAUGUCGGUGUAAAUGGGCUAGGUCUAAAUGGGCUAGGUCUAAAUGUCCAUGUAAAUGGGCUAAGUCUAAAUGGGCUAGGUCUAAAUGUCGGUGUAAAUGGGCUAGGUCUAAAUGUCCAUGUAAAUGGGCUAAGUCUAAAUGUCGGUGUAAAUGGGCUAAGUCUUAAUGUCGGUGUAAAUGGGCUAAGUCUACUGUAUUUUGUAUAUCGUACUUUGCUCUCAUUUUGAGAGAAAUAAAAUCCAGUUCGAUUCCCAACUCAGUAACUCAGAUCAGCUUUAAUAUUGAACAUAGAUUGUAACUCAGACCUUGGGGGAAGAUCAGCUUUAAUAUUGAACAUAGAUUGUAACUCAGGCCUUGGGGAAGUUCUGCUUUAAUAUUGAACAUAGAUUGUUGAUUCCAUCAAUGUAAUUGUCUGC